This 1052-nucleotide ribosomal RNA is filed under the name Staphylococcus aureus. RNAcentral describes it as "bacterial LSU rRNA". It matches the Rfam family "Bacterial large subunit ribosomal RNA", at positions 1 to 1049 of the family's 2925-position model. The record is from RNAcentral. Lineage: Bacteria; Bacillati; Bacillota; Bacilli; Caryophanales; Staphylococcaceae.
AGAUUAAGUUAUUAAGGGCGCACGGUGGAUGCCUUGGCACUAGAAGCCGAUGAAGGACGUUACUAACGACGAUAUGCUUUGGGGAGCUGUAAGUAAGCUUUGAUCCAGAGAUUUCCGAAUGGGGAAACCCAGCAUGAGUUAUGUCAUGUUAUCGAUAUGUGAAUACAUAGCAUAUCAGAAGGCACACCCGGAGAACUGAAACAUCUUAGUACCCGGAGGAAGAGAAAGAAAAUUCGAUUCCCUUAGUAGCGGCGAGCGAAACGGGAAGAGCCCAAACCAACAAGCUUGCUUGUUGGGGUUGUAGGACACUCUAUACGGAGUUACAAAGGACGACAUUAGACGAAUCAUCUGGAAAGAUGAAUCAAAGAAGGUAAUAAUCCUGUAGUCGAAAAUGUUGUCUCUCUUGAGUGGAUCCUGAGUACGACGGAGCACGUGAAAUUCCGUCGGAAUCUGGGAGGACCAUCUCCUAAGGCUAAAUACUCUCUAGUGACCGAUAGUGAACCAGUACCGUGAGGGAAAGGUGAAAAGCACCCCGGAAGGGGAGUGAAAUAGAACCUGAAACCGUGUGCUUACAAGUAGUCAGAGCCCGUUAAUGGGUGAUGGCGUGCCUUUUGUAGAAUGAACCGGCGAGUUACGAUUUGAUGCAAGGUUAAGCAGUAAAUGUGGAGCCGUAGCGAAAGCGAGUCUGAAUAGGGCGUUUAGUAUUUGGUCGUAGACCCGAAACCAGGUGAUCUACCCUUGGUCAGGUUGAAGUUCAGGUAACACUGAAUGGAGGACCGAACCGACUUACGUUGAAAAGYGAGCGGAUGAACUGAGGGUAGCGGAGAAAUUCCAAUCGAACCUGGAGAUAGCUGGUUCUCUCCGAAAUAGCUUUAGGGCUAGCCUCAAGUGAUGAUUAUUGGAGGUAGAGCACUGUUUGGACGAGGGGCCCCUCUCGGGUUACCGAAUUCAGACAAACUCCGAAUGCCAAUUAAUUUAACUUGGGAGUCAGAACAUGGGUGAUAAGGUCCGUGUUCGAAAGGGAAACAGCCCAGACCACCAGCUAAGGUCCC